This is an RNA transcript of Solanum stenotomum, 1164 nucleotides long. It is a transcript of the gene named zeatin O-glucosyltransferase-like, with no coding region annotated. NCBI's taxonomy places the organism in Eukaryota, Viridiplantae, Streptophyta, Magnoliopsida, Solanales, Solanaceae. The record is from RefSeq and is a predicted model, not a curated record. The transcript has a single exon.
UUUUCCUAUAUUGUCCUUAGUAUUAAUUAGUAUAUCCUUCCAAAACUCAAUCUUCACAAAGUUCUUCUCUUUUUGUUGCAAUGGCUGCUAUCAAUGAAGUGAUUGUGGCCAUGGUGCCAUUCCCUGAUUACAGCCAUCUCAAUCAGCUCUUCGUUCUUGCUCGUUUCAUCGUGUCCCAUAAUAUACAAGUACACUUCCUCUGUUUUGCUGAUGUGAACAGAGAUUUGAAACUUCGAAUUCAAGAUGAUGUAGGGGUCUCAAACAUCCAUUUCGAAAACCUUUUGAGACCUUCUUCUCCAACAGAAAAAGAUGUUCGCGAUGGAGAGCCUCCGAUUCUAAUGUUUCUGGAAAAACUAACAAAGCCCAUUAAUGAAAUAUGUGUUCAACUCUCUACUAAGGCAAGAAAAUUAGUCAUAAUUCAUGACCUUAUAAUGAGUGAACAAAUAUUGGAAGUAAAUGCAUUGUUGAAUGUCAAAUCUUAUAUGUUCCACUACAUUAUCACAAGAGCAAGUCAAUGAGCUUGCUUUGGGUUUAGAACAAAGCAACCAUAAAUUUAUUUGGGUACUAAGAAAAGGAGAUAGUGCAGAGAAACUUAAAGAAAAAGACGUAAAGAUUGAAUUACCCGAAGGGUUUGAAGAGAGAGUGGAAGGAAGAGGAAUAAUGGUUAAUUGGGCACCACAGUUGGAAAUCUUGGGGCAUUCAUCUACGGGUGGGUUUAUGAGUCACUGUGGAUGGAAUUCUUGUAUCGAGAGCAUUAGCAUGGGAGUACCUAUAGCAACAUGGCCAAUCCAUGUCGAUCAGCCAUUUAACGCUAUACUUGUAAACAAUUUGUUGAAGAUUGGAAUCUAUGUCAAGCGUUGGUCUCACCGGGAUGAAUUGAUAAAAGCAUCAACCAUUGAGAAAUCUGUCAAGACAUUGAUGGGUACCAUAGAAGGGGAAGAAAUGAGGCAAAGGGCAGUGGAAUUAAGCAAAAAGAUCAAAAACUCUGUUAGCCGCGGAGGACUUGCACGCAAGGCAAUGGAAUCUUUCAUAUCACAUAUUAUUGAAUAACUUCACCGUUGAAAUUUGCUUUUAGUUACUGCAUUCGCAAAAUAAGUUGUUUAGUUUGAGAUGAAUUUGAAUUUUAGUUAAGUUGUUUGAGUUGUUGAGUUUCAAAUUAUGAAG